GACGAACGCUGGCGGCGUGCUUAACACAUGCAAGUCGAACGGAAAGGCCUGCUUUCCCUUGUGGAUUGCGGGUACUCGAGUGGCGAACGGGUGAGUAACACGUGAGUGAUCUGCCCCCAACUUGGGUAUAAGCCUGGGAAACUGGUUCUAAUUCCCGAUAGGACUGCAGGGUGGUGCCUGUGGUGGAAAACGAUUUUCUAGUGGUUGGGGAUGAGCUCGCGGCCUAUCAGCUUGUUGGUGGGGUAAUGGCCUACCAAGGCGGCGACGGGUAGCCGGCCUGAGAGGGUGGACGGCCACAUUGGGACUGAGAUACGGCCCAGACUCCUACGGGAGGCAGCAGUGGGGAAUAUUGCACAAUGGGCGGAAGCCUGAUGCAGCGACGCCGCGUGGGGGAUGACGGCCUUCGGGUUGUAAACUCCUUUCGACCGCGAGGAAGCCACCUGGUUGGAAGGGUGGUGACGGUAGUGGUAGAAGAAGCACCGGCUAACUACGUG
RNAcentral lists this ribosomal RNA (494 nucleotides) under uncultured bacterium. RNAcentral describes it as "partial 16S ribosomal RNA". It matches the Rfam family "Bacterial small subunit ribosomal RNA", at positions 28 to 507 of the family's 1533-position model. The record is from RNAcentral.